RNAcentral lists this unclassified non-coding RNA (380 nucleotides) under Hevea brasiliensis (rubber tree). Lineage: Eukaryota; Viridiplantae; Streptophyta; Magnoliopsida; Malpighiales; Euphorbiaceae. The record is from RNAcentral.
UGCACAGAGAAUAGGUCAGUGCUUCAUGUAGCUCUUCGUGCUCCAAGGAAUGCGGUUAUAAACAGUGAUGGCAAGAAUGUUGUACCAGAUGUUUGGAAUGUUCUUGACAAGAUCAAGGAGUUCUCUGAGAGGGUUCGCAAUGGUUCCUGGGUUGGAGCUACAGGGAAACCACUGACUAAUGUUAUUGCCAUUGGUAUUGGUGGCAGCUUCUUAGGCCCUCUUUUUGUACACACAGCUCUUCAAACAGAUCCAGAGGCUAGCAGAUUUGCAAAAGGCCGCCAACUGCAAUUUCUUGCAAAUGUUGAUCCAAUUGACGUUGCUAAAAACAUUGCUGGCCUAAGUCCUGAAACCACCCUUGUUGUUGUGGUUUCUAAAACUUU